GAAAUGCGAUAAGUAAUGUGAAUUGCAGAAUUCAGUGAAUCAUCGAAUCUUUGAACGCACCUUGCGCUCCUUGGUAUUCCUUGGAGCAUGCCUGUUUGAGUAUCAUGAAAUCUUCAAAGUAAAUCUUUUGUUAACUCAAUUGGUUUCUACUUUGGUAUUGGAGGUCUUUGCAGCUUCACACCUGCUCCUCUUUGUUCAUUAGCUGGAUCUCAGUGUUAUGCUUGGUUCCACUCGGCGUGAUAAGUUAUCUAUCGCUGAGGACACUGUAAAAGGUGGCCAAGGUAAAUGCAGAUGAACCGCUUCUAAUAGUCCAUUGACUUGGACAAUACUUUUAUGAUCUGAUCUCAAAUCAGGUAGGCUACCCGCUGAACUUAAGC
Molecule: unclassified non-coding RNA, 377 nt
Filed under: plant metagenome
Description: partial contains 5.8S ribosomal RNA, internal transcribed spacer 2, and large subunit ribosomal RNA
Rfam family: 5.8S ribosomal RNA (bases 1-105)
Source: RNAcentral